RNAcentral lists this ribosomal RNA (478 nucleotides) under uncultured bacterium. Its description in RNAcentral is "partial 16S ribosomal RNA". It matches the Rfam family "Bacterial small subunit ribosomal RNA", at positions 28 to 507 of the family's 1533-position model. The record is from RNAcentral.
GACGAACGCUGGUGGCGUGCUUAACACAUGCAAGUCGAACGGGAUUUAGUAAACAGAAGCCUCGGUGGAAGAUUACUAAUGAGAGUGGCGAACGGGUGAGUAACGCGUGAGCAACCUGCCUAUGACAGUGGGAUAGCCUCGGGAAACCGGGAUUAAUACCGCAUAAAAUCGUAGAAACACAUGUUUUAACGGUCAAAGAUUUAUCGGUCAUAGAUGGGCUCGCGUCUGAUUAGCUAGUUGGUGAGAUAACAGCCCACCAAGGCGACGAUCAGUAGCCGGUCUGAGAGGAUGAACCGCCACAAUGGAAAUGAGACACGGUCCAAACUCCUACGGGAGGCGGCAGUGGGGAAUAUUGCACAAUGGGGGAAACCCUGAUGCAGCGACGCCGCGUGAACGAAGAAGGUAUUCGUAUCGUAAAGUUCUGUCCUAUGAGAAGAUAAUGACAGUACCAGAGAAGAAAGCGCCGGCUAAAUACGUG